Molecule: long non-coding RNA, 1181 nt
Organism: Oenanthe melanoleuca
Lineage: Eukaryota; Metazoa; Chordata; Aves; Passeriformes; Muscicapidae
Exons: 3
Source: RefSeq, a predicted model, not a curated record
CAGACUGAUAGCCAGGCUGAAGAGCAGGGCUUCAUCUUCAUCAUCAGCAAAAGGAGGAUUUUCCCAGUGUGAGGGGAUUCAAGGAGCUCUGUUUGAGGCCACUGGGACAGUACCAGCUGUCACUUACAGCAGAUGAUGUCUCUGUCACAUCCAACCUCUGGGCCUCUGUUUUCACAAGAGGCUGAUACCUUGAUCAAGAUGUCAUGGUGAAGCCAAAGGAGGAAGAGAGACAGCACUUGAGAAAUCAGACCCAGGAGCUCAGAGCUGAACUGCUGCCUCGAAAUCAGCCGAUGUGUGCAUGCCUGAGCCUCCCAUCCCUCCGAGCAGCUGUAGUUUCACUGUAGUAUCAUACGACCCCCUGCUGGCCUCAUUUUUCUCCUCAGCACUUCUGGCAUUCCAGUUUUUCUGGUUUUUCCCUCCUCGGGGAUCUCCAAGGUGUCACCUCCUGCAGGCACUCCUUUCUGAGGAUGCGAGUGGUGUUUUUUGGGAAGGAUGGCCUCGGCAGGGCUGCCCAGCAUUGUCCUGCUCGCUCUGCAGCGGUGGUGACGGUCCCUGGCAGGAGCCGAGCGUAUCUCAGGCUAAUGAGUUGUCAGAACCCCGUCCCCGUGCCUCGCCUCCCGGGCAGGUUAUUAUUAUGAGGGCUGUCAGUGGCGGGUGAGGAUGGGGCAAGCACUCCAUUCCUGCAGCCAGCGGGGAGCUGCGGGUCUGUUCACAGGGGAUCAGCGGGGUGCUGUGGGAACCGGCCAGCCCUGCGAGCGUCCACCAAGGGCUACAUUCACCACAGCGCCGUGGGCUCAUGGCGAGCGCAGCAAUGUAUGCCCUAAUGAGUCAGCCGAGGGUGUUCUGCCUGCCUGAAUGUCUUUAGUGUGGCAAAGCAGAGUGGACAUUCCCAUACAAUAGUGGGCUUAAAUUCAGCUUCGCACCGAUGUCUAAUUCAUGGGCGGAACGGCUUUUGUAAUACCUAUAGAAGAGAAGUACAGUAGGUCAUUUCUUCAACUAAUUGGAGUUGACAAUCCCAUAUCUGUCCAUAUCUCAGAGCCAUUUGCACACAGUUGGAAAGGGAGGCGUUUCGUCUUCGCUCAUGUGGUCAGCCACCGGGAAGGGAAAAUAAUGUAUGUGUGGGUUUCUGCUUCAGGCAGGCACAGAUUUGCUACAAAAUCUAAUAUAACUGGCAAUGGCUU